UUAAAAAUUAUGAUUAAAACAUUUAAAAAUUAUAUUUAACAAAAUUUUCCUGCUAUAUUUCUGUGAUAUUCGAAGUGAAAUACCGGCAUCGACACAAACUGAUUCAAGAAUCAUGGAAAUCUGUCCCCCUGAACCACUUAAACGAACGCCGCAACAGUCGAUUAUCGAGGCAAAAAAUAAACUUCGGCUCGGUCACGAUGAAUGUUGCAAUUGCUGCUGUUGUUGUAUACCACAACCUACAUGCUAC
This is a long non-coding RNA of Wasmannia auropunctata (little fire ant), 247 nucleotides long. RefSeq lists it as uncharacterized. Lineage: Eukaryota; Metazoa; Arthropoda; Insecta; Hymenoptera; Formicidae. The transcript has 3 exons. The record is from RefSeq and is a predicted model, not a curated record.